AACGAACGCUGGCGGCAUGCCUAACACAUGCAAGUCGAACGAAGCCUUCGGGCUUAGUGGCGCACGGGUGCGUAACGCGUGGGAAUCUGCCCCUUGCUUCGGAAUAACAGUUAGAAAUGACUGCUAAUACCGGAUGAAGUCUUCGGACCAAAGAUUUAUCGGCAAGGGAUGAGCCCGCGUAGGUUUAGGUAGUUGGGGGGGUAAAGGCCUACCAAGCCGACGAUCCUUAGCUGGUCUGAGAGGAUGAUCAGCCACACUGGGACUGAGACACGGCCCAGAAUCCUACGGGAGGCAGCAGUGGGGAAUAUUGGAAAAUGGACGCAAGUCUGAACCAGCAAUGCUGCGUGAGUGAUGAAGGCCUUAGGGUAGUAAAGCUCUUUUACCAGGGAUGAUAAUGACAGUACCUGGAGAAUAAGCUCCGGCUAACUCCGUG
Molecule: ribosomal RNA, 433 nt
Filed under: uncultured bacterium
Lineage: Bacteria
Description: partial 16S ribosomal RNA
Rfam family: Bacterial small subunit ribosomal RNA
Source: RNAcentral